CAGGCCGGAAAUGACGUUUCCCAACCGACGGGCGGAGGCCGUUAACGGCGCGCGUGAGGGCGCUCCGCUCGCUGAUUGGCGGAGAGGCCCCGGGGGCAGCCGCGCGGACAGAGACUCCCGGAGCCAGGGGAUAUUGGGGUUGAGCUUCCUGGUUCAGGCGCUGCUGCCUCGAUUGUGAUCUGGGAGCCCAGGCUGAGCAGCUGCUGCUCCCCCAGCGGGAUCGGGGCUGGGGAGCGACUGUGAGUAAAGCUUCCUCUGUGCCCAGCCAAGGUGAGGAUUUUCUCCAGCUGUAAUUAGCCCCAUACAUCAACUCAAGGCUCUGCCCACUCCAACGUCUGAGCCAGAGACUCCAGCAAUUUCAGGAGCCGAUCCAGCCAUAGGAGAGCGAACCCCCAGGAUUGGCUGCCAGCCAGAGACAGGGGAAGGGAGACACAAGGAGAAAAAGGAGAGAGAGAGAGACUGAAAAGGGCAGUGGGAGAAAUAAUUGGGGAGAGAGAUUCCCAGAUUUCUGACCGGCCCACGCACGUUUAUUGCCGCAUCCCUGGGCAGAUUCACUUUGCUACGAACAAGAUGAGGUACAGGGGGAGGAAAAGCCAGCUCCUGACUCUCCCUGUACCCCCUGCUGUAGGAGUGUGCUGCCCUGGGGACCAUGUCAGGGGGAAUCCCCCAGUGUCACUCCUUUUGUUCUGCUCUUCUCUCCCAUUCGGUUUCAAGACUUUGUUACUGCGAGGGUUUCAAAAUGUCUCGGUGGUUUAGUGCUAGUGGGAGGGGCUGGUUAGUGCUGUAAUCAAGUGGCCAGACGUUUCCCCAGCAUAGAAUCGUAGAACUGUAGGGCUGGAAUGAACCACGAGAGGGCAUCUAGACCAGCCCCCAGCACUACGAUGUUUGUCCAACCUGUCCUUAAAAACCUCUAAUGAUGGGGAUUCCACCACCUCUCUUGCUAGUCUAUUCCAGUGCUUUAUUAGGUUUUUUCACAAUUGAGUCACGUGGUUGACUCAGAUUCAAUUUGUGAUCCACUCUAACCGCCGAUCGUUUUCAGUAGUACUACCUCAUAACUAACGCUUCGUAGUUGUGCAUUUGGUUUUCCUUCCCUAAGUCUAGUACUUUGCAGUCGUCUUUAUUGAAUUUCAUCUCAUUCCUUCAGCCCACUUCUCCAAUUUGUAAAUGUUACCUUGAAUUCUAAUCCUGUCCUCCAAUGUGCUUGCAACCCCUCGCAACUGCUAUUAUCUGCAUAUUUAGACAGCAUGCUCUCCAGUCCAUUAUCCAAGUAAUUAGUGAAAAUAUUGAAUAUAUCAGAUCCAGGACUGGCCCCUGGGCACCCCAUUGUAUACAUCCUCUCAGUUGGACAGUGAACCAGUAAUGAUUCCUGUCUGAGUACAGCCUUUCAACAACAUUUUCACCCAUUUUAUAGCACUUGCAUGUACACCACAUUUCCCUAGUUCACGGUGAGAAUGUCAUGGGGGCCUGUGUCAAAAGCCUGACUAAAAUCAAGAUAUGUCCUAUCUACAGUGUCCCCUGGAUCUAUAAGUCCAGUACCCCUGUGAAAGUAGGAAAUUAGAUUGACUUGGCAUUAUUUGUUUUUGCAAAUCCAUGCUGGCUAUAACUUAUCACCUUAC
Non-coding RNA from Caretta caretta (loggerhead turtle), 1616 nucleotides. The record is from RefSeq and is a predicted model, not a curated record. Lineage: Eukaryota; Metazoa; Chordata; Testudines; Cheloniidae.